AGUGAAACUCCAUCUCAAAAAAAGAAAGAAAGGAAACUCCUCAGGCCCAGGAAAACCUGAAUGGUUGCUCACUCUAAAUUGCAUUUAAAUAGAAUUUUAUAAAAUGCAAACUAAUCUGUUAAUGACAAAUUAUGUCAGGUAUUACCUAGGGAUAGAAGAUGGGGAGGGACCUGGGGAGUGAAGAAUUAUGCAGGGGCAAAAGGAAACUUCAGAGUGUGGUAGAAGUUUUAAUUAUCUUGAUUGUGAUGAUGGUAACAAGGAUGUAUGCAAACCUCAAAAGGCAUAAUAAUGUAUGCUUUAAACAUGCAUAGUUUUUUGUAUGUUAAUUAACCUCAGAAUGCUGUGAAAAAUAAAUAUACUGACUUGGCUGAAAAAAGAAAGAAAAGAAAGGAAGGAAGAAAGGAAGAAAGGAAGGAAGGAAGGAAGGAAAAUGUAGCAGUUGAACAUUCAAAAAAAAUGCAGUAUAUCUAAAACAAAGAGAACCAAAGAGAGAGAGAGAGAGAGAGAGCAAAAGAGUGAGAAAGAGAGAGCAGAGAGAAGCUGGAGAGAGAGACAAGGCUUGAUAGCCCGCAUUAAGAAUUGUAUUUCCUAAGUCCAUAAGAAAUCAUUGAAUGUGGAUUGACCAAUCCAUUUUUCAUAUAAUUUGAAAGAUCGUUCUGGUUAUUGUGUGGAAAAUUAUUUGAAGCAGCCAAACUUGGAAGUUGUGGAGACCAAAUGUAUUUGUCAGUAUAAGUUUUGUGGUCCUGUAGUAAUCAAUAUUCCCCGAUUCUCAGUGGCUCAAACAAUAAAAAUGUUUUUCUCAUUCAGGCUACACAUCUUUCAUGGAUUCUGGUCCACGUCGUCCUCACGCGGGGAUGCGUACUGACAAGUUUCCACCAUGAAGGGUUGUUGUUUACCCCAGCAGGGAGAGGAAAAUGGAGCAGAUCACUCACCAGCUCGUCACACAGCAGAGUGGCCCACGUCACAUCUGCUGAUAUGUUAUGGCCAAAGUACACGAUUAUCUCCAAGGGGCUGAGAGGUGAAAUACCGACAUUUGUCUGGAUGAAGAACCAGAAUAGUCAUAAACAUCCUAUGUACUACAGUAUUCUAGAGGUAACUGUUUGCCUAAAUCCAGCACUUCAGACUGGAAAAGCCUUUAUAAACAUUUGCUCACCAUUGGGUGUGAAAAAUAAUCCAGAAGUUUAAAGAGAAUGCUGUUUUCCACGAACUGUAAUAAAUGCUGAUGGAGUCCCAGGUAGAACGCAGCAAGAUGAACAUGUCUGAAUCUUAAUGUCAGCAUCUAGGAGUUCGACAGACAGGUGCUAUGAGAGAACGUGCAGACAAUCACAGGAAACUGAGGUACUUAUCAGCGGAUAUGUGUGUGGUGGAGUUGGAGGCAGAUGCCGAAUGAAUUCAGACACUCCUGGUCUCAUC
Molecule: long non-coding RNA, 1413 nt
Filed under: Aotus nancymaae (Ma's night monkey)
Lineage: Eukaryota; Metazoa; Chordata; Mammalia; Primates; Aotidae
Description: lncRNA (ENSANAG00000038633.1)
Source: RNAcentral